This 429-nucleotide ribosomal RNA is filed under the name Acidobacteriota bacterium. Its description in RNAcentral is "Acidobacteria bacterium partial 16S ribosomal RNA". It matches the Rfam family "Bacterial small subunit ribosomal RNA", at positions 355 to 776 of the family's 1533-position model. The record is from RNAcentral. Lineage: Bacteria; Pseudomonadati; Acidobacteriota.
UGGGGAAUUUUGGACAAUGGGGGAAACCCUGAUCCAGCCAUCCCGCGUGUGCGAUGAAGGCCUUCGGGUUGUAAAGCACUUUUGGCAGGAAAGAAACGUCAUGGGUUAAUACCCCGUGAAACUGACGGUACCUGCAGAAUAAGCACCGGCUAACUACGUGCCAGCAGCCGCGGUAAUACGUAGGGUGCAAGCGUUAAUCGGAAUUACUGGGCGUAAAGCGUGCGCAGGCGGUUCGGAAAGAAAGAUGUGAAAUCCCAGGGCUCAACUUUGGAACUGCAUUUUUAACUACCGGGCUAGAGUGUGUCAGAGGGAGGUAGAAUUCCGCGUGUAGCAGUGAAAUGCGUAGAUAUGCGGAGGAACACCGAUGGCGAAGGCAGCCUACUGGGAUAACACUGACGCUCAUGCACGAAAGCGUGGGGAGCAAACAGG